UGCAGUCGAACGAUGAUGCUAGCUUGCUAGCGGAUUAGUGGCGAACGGGUGAGUAACACGUGAGUAACCUGCCUUUGACUCUGGGAUAAGCGUUGGAAACGACGUCUAAUACCGGAUACGACUUCUCACCGCAUGGUGUGGGGGUGGAAAGAUUUUUUGGUUGGAGAUGGACUCGCGGCCUAUCAGGUUGUUGGUGGGGUAAUGGCUCACCAAGCCUACGACGGGUAGCCGGCCUGAGAGGGUGACCGGCCACACUGGGACUGAGACACGGCCCAGACUCCUACGGGAGGCAGCAGUGGGGAAUAUUGCACAAUGGGCGAAAGCCUGAUGCAGCAACGCCGCGUGAGGGAUGACGGCCUUCGGGUUGUAAACCUCUUUUAGUAAGGAAGAAGCCAGCUUGCUGGUGACGGUACUUGCAGAAAAAGCACCGGCUAACUACGUGCCAGCAGCCGCGGUAAUACGUAGGGUGCAAGCGUUGUCCGGAAUUAUUGGGCGUAAAGAGCUCGUAGGCGGUUUGUCGCGUCUGCUGUGAAAUCCUGAGGCUCAACCUCGGGCUUGCAGUGGGUACGGGCAGACUAGAGUGCGGUAGGGGAGAUUGGAAUUCCUGGUGUAGCGGUGGAAUGCGCAGAUAUCAGGAGGAACACCGAUGGCGAAGGCAGAUCUCUGGGCCGUAACUGACGCUGAGGAGCGAAAGCAUGGGGAGCGAACAGGAUUAGAUACCCUGGUAGUCCAUGCCGUAAACGUUGGGAACUAGAUGUAGGGGCCAUUCCACGGUUUCUGUGUCGCAGCUAACGCAUUAAGUUCCCCGCCUGGGGAGUACGGCCGCAAGGCUAAAACUCAAAGGAAUUGACGGGGGCCCGCACAAGCGGCGGAGCAUGCGGAUUAAUUCGAUGCAACGCGAAGAACCUUACCAAGGCUUGACAUGAACGA
This 930-nucleotide ribosomal RNA is filed under the name Frondihabitans cladoniiphilus. RNAcentral's name for it is "bacterial SSU rRNA". It matches the Rfam family "Bacterial small subunit ribosomal RNA", at positions 56 to 993 of the family's 1533-position model. The record is from RNAcentral. Lineage: Bacteria; Bacillati; Actinomycetota; Actinomycetes; Micrococcales; Microbacteriaceae.